Molecule: non-coding RNA, 736 nt
Organism: Pelobates cultripes (western spadefoot toad)
Lineage: Eukaryota; Metazoa; Chordata; Amphibia; Anura; Pelobatidae
Source: the annotation of a GenBank genome assembly
CACCAGGCGAUCUCCCCCCUCCCUGACAAGGUAAGAAGCAGGGAGGGGGGAAUAAAAUAAAAAAAUAUAGACACAUAAAGUAAAAAAAAAAAUGCUUCCCCUCCCCAUCAUCCAGCACACAUACACUCACACACCCAUCAUCCAGCACUCACACACACAUCAUCCAGCACUCACACACAUCAUCCAGCACUCACACAAACACCCAUCAUCCAGCACACACACAUCAUCCCACACACACACACACAUCAUCCAGCACACACACCCAUCAUCCAGCACUCACACAAACACCCAUCAUCCAGCACUCACACAAACACCCAUCAUCCAGCACACACACACAUCAUCCAGCACUCACACACACAUCAUCCAGCACUCACACACACAUCAUCCAGCACUCACACACCCAUCAUCCAGCACACACAUCAUCCAGCACUCACACACCCAUCAUCCAGCACACACACACCCAUCAUCCAGCACACACAUCAUCCAGCACUCACACACCCAUCAUCCAGCACACACACACACAUCAUCCAGCACACACACACACAUCAUCCAGCACACACACACACAUCCAUCAUCCAGCACACACACACACAUCAUCCGGCACUCGCACACACAUCAUCCAGCACACACACACACGUCAUCCAGCGCGCACACGCACACACUGCAUUCAUUAUACACACUCUUCACUCACUACAAACACACUACAUUCACUAUACACCCUCUGCAUUCACUAUAC